RNAcentral lists this ribosomal RNA (1576 nucleotides) under Salmonella enterica subsp. enterica serovar Typhimurium. RNAcentral describes it as "partial 23S ribosomal RNA". It matches the Rfam family "Bacterial large subunit ribosomal RNA", at positions 1243 to 2802 of the family's 2925-position model. The record is from RNAcentral. Lineage: Bacteria; Pseudomonadati; Pseudomonadota; Gammaproteobacteria; Enterobacterales; Enterobacteriaceae.
UAAGCCUGUGAAGGUGUGUCGUGAGGCAUGCUGGAGGUAUCAGAAGUGCGAAUGCUGACAUAAGUAACGAUAAAGCGGGUGAAAAGCCCGCUCGCCGGAAGACCAAGGGUUCCUGUCCAACGUUAAUCGGGGCAGGGUGAGUCGACCCCUAAGGCGAGGCCGAAAGGCGUAGUCGAUGGGAAACGGGUUAAUAUUCCCGUACUUGGUGUUACUGCGAAGGGGGGACGGAGAAGGCUAUGUUGGCCGGGCGACGGUUGUCCCGGUUUAAGCGUGUAGGUGUGUGUUCCAGGUAAAUCCGGUUCACUUUAACACUGAGGCGUGACGACGAGGCACUACGGUGCUGAAGCAACAAAUGCCCUGCUUCCAGGAAAAGCCUCUAAGCAUCAGGUAACACGAAAUCGUACCCCAAACCGACACAGGUGGUCAGGUAGAGAAUACCAAGGCGCUUGAGAGAACUCGGGUGAAGGAACUAGGCAAAAUGGUGCCGUAACUUCGGGAGAAGGCACGCUGACACGUAGGUGAAGUGAUUUACUCAUGGAGCUGAAGUCAGUCGAAGAUACCAGCUGGCUGCAACUGUUUAUUAAAAACACAGCACUGUGCAAACACGAAAGUGGACGUAUACGGUGUGACGCCUGCCCGGUGCCGGAAGGUUAAUUGAUGGGGUCAGCGUAAGCGAAGCUCCUGAUCGAAGCCCCGGUAAACGGCGGCCGUAACUAUAACGGUCCUAAGGUAGCGAAAUUCCUUGUCGGGUAAGUUCCGACCUGCACGAAUGGCGUAAUGAUGGCCAGGCUGUCUCCACCCGAGACUCAGUGAAAUUGAACUCGCUGUGAAGAUGCAGUGUACCCGCGGCAAGACGGAAAGACCCCGUGAACCUUUACUAUAGCUUGACACUGAACAUUGAGCCUUGAUGUGUAGGAUAGGUGGGAGGCUUUGAAGUGUGGACGCCAGUCUGCAUGGAGCCGACCUUGAAAUACCACCCUUUAAUGUUUGAUGUUCUAACGUGGACCCGUAAUCCGGGUUGCGGACAGUGUCUGGUGGGUAGUUUGACUGGGGCGGUCUCCUCCUAAAGAGUAACGGAGGAGCACGAAGGUUGGCUAAUCCUGGUCGGACAUCAGGAGGUUAGUGCAAUGGCAUAAGCCAGCUUGACUGCGAGCGUGACGGCGCGAGCAGGUGCGAAAGCAGGUCAUAGUGAUCCGGUGGUUCUGAAUGGAAGGGCCAUCGCUCAACGGAUAAAAGGUACUCCGGGGAUAACAGGCUGAUACCGCCCAAGAGUUCAUAUCGACGGCGGUGUUUGGCACCUCGAUGUCGGCUCAUCACAUCCUGGGGCUGAAGUAGGUCCCAAGGGUAUGGCUGUUCGCCAUUUAAAGUGGUACGCGAGCUGGGUUUAGAACGUCGUGAGACAGUUCGGUCCCUAUCUGCCGUGGGCGCUGGAGAACUGAGGGGGGCUGCUCCUAGUACGAGAGGACCGGAGUGGACGCAUCACUGGUGUUCGGGUUGUCAUGCCAAUGGCACUGCCCGGUAGCUAAAUGCGGAAGAGAUAAGUGCUGAAAGCAUCUAAGCACGAAACUUGCCCCGA